CAUCCUCCAAAUAUUGUGUACCUUAAUCAUCAUCCAGUUCGUAUUAAAUAAUUAAUCCUAAUGCAGUCAAACAUAUUUUAAUGCAUGAACAACAUGAAUGUUUUUAUUUGGAAGCAUAAAUAAUUGAGACAAAGAACAUCAUAAACAUGAUUUGAACAAACUGAAUCAAGAAAUUGCAAUCAUCCUAGCUGAAACAAAUUAAGUCAUUAUCAUUAAUGAAAAACAAUCAAAUAAUUUGCACACAUGUUUAUAAACUAAGAACAAUUUAAAGAGAAAGGAAUAAGAAGCUUUGAGAUGAAUUCGGUGAUUUCCCAAGAACUAUCCGUGAUGGAUUCCUCUGAUUUUUGUCGUUACUCCAAUGCAAGUUAUUCCUCAAAGUGGUCAGCCAAGAGAGCUUUCCUCUCACAAACUACCUACUAGGGGAACUCUCAAAGAGAGAAUGGGAAAAAUGAAAGGAAAUGGAAGGCUUAGGCGUGGGAGAGAAAGGAGAAUGAAG
RNAcentral lists this long non-coding RNA (496 nucleotides) under Gossypium barbadense (sea-island cotton). RNAcentral's name for it is "long non-coding RNA (GBAR_LNC017993)". Lineage: Eukaryota; Viridiplantae; Streptophyta; Magnoliopsida; Malvales; Malvaceae. The record is from RNAcentral.